GAUGAACGCUAGCGGCAGGCCUAAUACAUGCAAGUCGGACGGGAUCCAGGAGCUUGCUUCUGAUGAGAGUGGCGCACGGGGGCGUAACACGUAUGUAACCUACCUUUAUCAGGGGGAUAGGCUCGCGGAAGAGAGGUUAAGUCCGCAUAAAAACACAGCACAGCAUUGGGUAAUGAUCAAAUAUUUAUAGGAUAAAGAUGGGCAUGCGGAACAUUAGCUAGAUGGCGGGGUAACGACCCACAAUGGCGACGAUGGUUAGGGGAUCUGAGAGGAUGGCCCCGCAAACUGGAACUGGGACACGGACCAGAGUGAUGCAGGAGGCGGCAGUAAGGAAUAUUGGUCGAUGGGCGGAAGCAUGAACCCGCCGUGUGGCGUGAAGGACGACGGCCCUUAGAGUUGUAAACUGCUUUUAUACGGGAAUAACCCCAGAUACGUGUGUCCGGCUGAGUACCCUGUAAGAAUGCGGCUCCGAUCUCCCCG
Molecule: ribosomal RNA, 480 nt
Filed under: uncultured bacterium
Lineage: Bacteria
Description: partial 16S ribosomal RNA
Rfam family: Bacterial small subunit ribosomal RNA
Source: RNAcentral